Non-coding RNA from Phthorimaea operculella (potato tuberworm), 76 nucleotides. The record is from the annotation of a GenBank genome assembly. Lineage: Eukaryota; Metazoa; Arthropoda; Insecta; Lepidoptera; Gelechiidae.
ACCGCGGUAGCCCAGUUGGUAGUAGCGUCAGCAGUGAAGAUGCCGAAGGUCGCAGUUUCAAAUCCUGCCUGCGGUA